ACUCAAUCCUCAUACGUGCGACACUCCUCCGUCUCGGGAUUAUCCUUACAAAAAUCCUCAAGGGGGUCCGAAUCCUUGAGGCGGUCACGUGCGUGGCUGGCGGCGGCGCUGAGCUCCUCCACCUCAUCCCACGCCGCCGCGCACUCGCCGCUCGCCGGAUCCUCCGAGCACGUCUCCUCUGCGUUCUUUAUGCUCUCCACCACCUUCUCCGAUAUCCGGUCCGGUGCCGCCGCCACCGGUCCAACUGCGCUCAUCCGACCGGCGGUCCACUGCUUCCAUGGGUAGCUGAGCCGGGCGGAUCGGAGGACCGGCGAUUCGAUUUUCGGCGAGUCAGCCACCGCCUUUGAGGCUGCCAUAGUAGCACCGGAGAUCGCUGCCAUUUUCUUUUCUCGAUCGGAAACUGGAGCGGUGGAUUGGAUAAUAG
RNAcentral lists this unclassified non-coding RNA (424 nucleotides) under Hevea brasiliensis (rubber tree). Lineage: Eukaryota; Viridiplantae; Streptophyta; Magnoliopsida; Malpighiales; Euphorbiaceae. The record is from RNAcentral.